Molecule: non-coding RNA, 29 nt
Filed under: Mus musculus (house mouse)
Lineage: Eukaryota; Metazoa; Chordata; Mammalia; Rodentia; Muridae
Source: RNAcentral
UGUACAAGAAGGUGGUCUUAAUUUGGAAC